GCUACGGGGCGCAGCAGUGAGGAAUAUUGGUCAAUGGACGGAAGUCUGAACCAGCCAUGCCGCGUGCAGGAAGACGGCUCUAUGAGUUGUAAACUGCUUUUGUACGAGGGUAAACGCAGAUACGCGUAUCUGUCUGAAAGGAUCGUACGAAUAAGGAUCGGCUAACUCCGUGCCAGCAGCCUCGGUAAUACGGAGGAUUCAAGCGUUAUCCGGAUUUAGUGGGGUGAAAGGGUGCGUAGGCGGUCGGCUAAGUUAGAGGUGAAAUCCCGAGGCUACACUUCGGAAUUGCCUCUGAUACUGUUCGGCUAGAGCGUAGUUGCGGUCGGCGGAAUGUCUGGUGUAGCUGUGAAAUGCUUAGAGUUCAUAC
This 367-nucleotide ribosomal RNA is filed under the name uncultured bacterium. RNAcentral's name for it is "partial 16S ribosomal RNA". It matches the Rfam family "Bacterial small subunit ribosomal RNA", at positions 338 to 702 of the family's 1533-position model. The record is from RNAcentral.